RNAcentral lists this ribosomal RNA (305 nucleotides) under uncultured bacterium. Its description in RNAcentral is "bacterial SSU rRNA". It matches the Rfam family "Bacterial small subunit ribosomal RNA", at positions 336 to 658 of the family's 1533-position model. The record is from RNAcentral.
UUCCUACGGGAGGCAGCAGUGGGGAAUAUUGCACAAUGGGGGGAACCCUGAUGCAGCGACGCCGCGUGGGUGAAGGAGUAUUUCGGUAUGUAAAGCCCUAUCAGCAGGGAAGAACAAUGACGGUACCUGACUAAGAAGCACCGGCUAAAUACGUGCCAGCAGCCGCGGUAAUACGUAUGGUGCAAGCGUUAUCCGGAUUUAUUGGGUUUAAAGGGUGCGCAGGCGGACCAUCAAGUCAGCGGUAAAAUCGUGGGGCCCAACCCCAUCCCGCCGUUGAAACUGGCGGUCUUGAGUGAGCGAGAAGU